This 301-nucleotide ribosomal RNA is filed under the name uncultured bacterium. RNAcentral describes it as "partial 16S ribosomal RNA". It matches the Rfam family "Bacterial small subunit ribosomal RNA", at positions 509 to 807 of the family's 1533-position model. The record is from RNAcentral.
CAGUCGCCGCGGGAAUACGUAGGGUGCGAGCGUUAAUCGGAAUUACUGGGCGUAAAGCGUGCGCAGGCGGUUCGUUAAGACAGAUGAGAAAUCCCCGGGCUUAACCUGGGAACUGCAUUUGUGACUGGCGAGCUAGAGUAUGGCAGAGGGGGGUAGAAUUCCACGUGUAGCAGUGAAAUGCGUAGAGAUGUGGAGGAAUACCGAUGGCGAAGGCAGCCCCCUGGGCCAAUACUGACGCUCAUGCACGAAAGCGUGGGGAGCAAACAGGAUUAGAUACCCGGGUAGUCCCUGUCUCUUAUAC